UUUCCUGGAACUUUGCCGGUUGUCACCAAGGGCAACCACUUCAGAAGAACGAGGUGGGGAGGGGGAAGCGCCCGUUGCCUUCAUGCAGGCAUGCAGUGUGGCACAACAGCGUCCUUGCCGCCAGACAAUGCAUCUAGAAGUUGAGCUUUCUGACACAGCUCGGAUGGUUGGAUGCUCUAGUUGAGCGAUGUCGUUGAUUAAUUGGAGGGAGAGGCUUUGCUGCUUUUUGCGCCGGUAGUCUUUCCUGCUGCUCGGCCCAGAGAAGGUCCACUGGAAUGACCGAGGAUCAAAACACCAAACUACUCCCGGCCAAAGCAAGCACCCUCCGAAUGCGUUUCAAACUGCUAGACCAAUCAACCAUGGUCCGCAUGAGGUGGCUGUGGGACAAUGCAUGUAGCGCCUCAUCUGCCAGGAAUUGCUUGGCCCUCCUCGGCUCCUAAGUUUUGUCUAAACCCACUUUGAGCCGGCUGACACUUAUGAUGAGGUUCUAGUCACCAUCAAAGGUGAGUGGCCAGCACCGGCUCAAAGAUUUUGCAGACUGUUCGCAUUAAAGAAAUUGGCCGGAGGGCCUGGAAACUUGUGGGUGGCUUCCAAGCUUUUGGAAUUGGCACAACCACGCACGUGUCCCCACUCAUAUGGAAUGGUACACUUUUGGCCCAUACCAUAUGGGCCAAAGGUACUACUGGGCCAAGGUACCAUAGAUCUGCAUAAUUUUUGCUUGGUUUUACCUCGUUCAUAACCUGCAGCAGUGAACCAACUCUGUCUCCUUCCAUAUUCCUGAAGAGCUCAUACAGUAGAUUGUCGUAACCAGGGGAUGAAUGCCUCCUCAUCCUGUCAGUGGCUGCGAUGAGCUCAGCUUGUGUAAAUGGCGUGUUGAGACCUGAUGUGUUUUUACACCAUCCAUCGAAGGAGCAACAGCUGGAAGCUGCUGGUGUUUUAGAAAGAAACUCACAGCCUCUUACUUUGCAAACUCCUCCAGAGUCGGGUUGAGUGCCAGUUGAAUGCUUGCCGAUGGAUCAGCUUGAUGGUUUCAAGCUCCAUGGCCUGAAAAGUCUGCCGUAAGGCUUUGUUUCCAGCCCUGGAUCCAAGGUAGUAGCAGCAGAAACAUUUACAAGCUCCUGAGAUGACGGGGUUCGAGUCUCACACUGGGAUCAACCGUUUGGUUCCAUCGUUAAAAAAAAUAGUCUAAUUUGUAUUAUAACUUGUUUAUUACAAGCUCUAGUUAUUUUAGCAUGUGUGCCUCUGUCAUAAAGGCAAUUCUGUGGAAAUGGUUUAUACUAAUUAACGUAUCUCCCCUUUUUCUAUAAGGUUUUGCACGCGUUUUAUGAAACGCCCCCUAUAAAGCUUUGCGAAUGCCUUGGUUGUAAGAGCCAGCAGUGUAUUGUGAUUACACAUUGCACAGGAUAAAUCGUACACAUCGUUGUUUUAUAGCAUUUAAUCAAUUGCUUCAAUUCACACCAAUUCCAAUGUGUGUUUGAUCUGCAUAAUUUUUGCUUGGUUAUCCCCUCCAUUAUCUUAGUAUACUUCUGGAAAACUAAACCUAAAUUGAGUUAUUGAACAUCCACUAAACUCAUGACAGGCUCCCUCCAGUUUAGCUGAACAAAAAAGCUGGGCUAUAUAUUUCCUUUGCUUCUCUUCCCACACCUCGUCUACUUAUCAUUAGUCAUUUUGCCUAGAUUUCAAGCCUGCCUGUGCAUGUCCUUAAUGGGAACACCGUGGUUGGUUUACAAGUGGGUAACUGAAACUUCUACUGGCAAAGUGACUGAGGAAUUACAUCACUGGCGCUCAGUGUGUGAUUCACAUGCCUACAUUCUGGUUUUCAGCUUCCGUGGUGACAUAGCAGGCAGGCUUUCUAGGUCCUCUGACUAAUCUGUGUACUCGCCACUGACUCGCAAAAGGUGUAUAACAGCUACAGAAAGGGCUGGGUGUCUCUUGCGGCACCACAUAUUCUGAGGAGUAAACGCGACGUACCUGAAAGGAAAGUUGAGUUGAUAUGGACACCGGCUCACUCUGGACUGGAGGGCAACGAACUUGCCCACCAGUUCGCCCGAGAGAUGGAGCACCGGGUAGAGGAAGGUGAGCCACAGUCCAUAAUUAGUUAUAGGGACAUUACGAACCAUUACAAGACGGAGAGGCGCCGUUACCCUGAUCCUCACAAAUCGCUUAGCAGAGAACAGCAAACAAUCUACAGGCAGAUGCAAGCAGGAUCCUUCCCGCACCCUUACCUUCAAAACAAGAUGUACCCGGAAAGGUACGAGAAGGAAUGUAAUUUCUGCAAUAUUCAGUUAGGCACGCUCCAACACGUCAUUGGAGUAUGCGAUUUCGUCAAGGCAUUCCCCCCACCUCUUACCUGCCCCACUACCCUACCCCAUCCCUCAUCCACCCUUACCGAGCGAUGGGAGACCUUGCUGACCAGCACCGCCCUGGA
Molecule: long non-coding RNA, 2428 nt
Filed under: Dermacentor andersoni
Lineage: Eukaryota; Metazoa; Arthropoda; Arachnida; Ixodida; Ixodidae
Description: uncharacterized LOC126530704
Source: RNAcentral